Sardina pilchardus (European sardine) is the source of this 284-nucleotide long non-coding RNA. RefSeq lists it as uncharacterized. The record is from RefSeq and is a predicted model, not a curated record. The transcript has 3 exons. Lineage: Eukaryota; Metazoa; Chordata; Actinopteri; Clupeiformes; Clupeidae.
CUCUUUUCUUAAAUGCAGGUACUUACGAAGCAGCAAGGCAGCAACUGCCAAAAGCAAUCCGAAAAAAUUCCCUCACAUCAGAGGACGAGGGAGCCAAACGUGUGCGAAUGCCUUCUACAAAACUGAAGGAGCGGUCCCCUUCCUUGCCCAAAAAGAGGUGAUGAUCCAGCAUCCAGGGACAGAUCCAGAUCCAGGGACAGCAGCAGCACGGAUGAUGAAGACUGAUGAAGACUAUUUAUUUAUUUAUCCAUUUAUUUGUUUUAUAAAUUAUAUUGUUACCUGUA